CAGCACCUCAAGUGGUCAGGAUGAUUAUUGGGCCUAAAGCAUCCGUAGCCGGCGCUGUAAGUUUUCGGUUAAAUCUGUAAGCUCAACGUACAGGCUGCCGGGAAUACUGCAGCGCUAGGGAGUGGGAGAGGUAGACGGUACUCGGUAGGAAGGGGUAAAAUCCUUUGAUCUAUUGAUGACCACCUGUGGCGAAGGCGGUCUACCAGAACACGUCCGACGGUGAGGGAUGAAAGCUGGGGGAGCAAACCGGAUUAGAUACCCGAGUAGUCC
Molecule: ribosomal RNA, 270 nt
Filed under: uncultured archaeon
Lineage: Archaea
Description: partial 16S ribosomal RNA
Rfam family: Archaeal small subunit ribosomal RNA
Source: RNAcentral